Molecule: ribosomal RNA, 658 nt
Filed under: uncultured Actinomycetes bacterium
Lineage: Bacteria; Bacillati; Actinomycetota; Actinomycetes
Description: bacterial SSU rRNA
Rfam family: Bacterial small subunit ribosomal RNA
Source: RNAcentral
UGCUUAACACAUGCAAGUCGAGCGGUAAGGCCCUUUCGGGGGUACACGAGCGGCGAACGGGUGAGUAACACGUGAGUAAUCUGCCCUUCACUUCGGGAUAAGCCUCGGAAACGGGGUCUAAUACCGGAUACGACACUUUUACGCAUGUAAUGGGUGUGGAAAGUUUUUUCGGUGGGGGAUGUGCUCGCGGCCUAUCAGCUUGUUGGUGGGGUAAUGGCCUACCAAGGCUUCGACGGGUAGCCGGCCUGAGAGGGUGACCGGCCACACUGGGACUGAGACACGGCCCAGACUCCUACGGGAGGCAGCAGUGGGGAAUAUUGGACAAUGGGCGGAAGCCUGAUCCAGCAACGCCGCGUGAGGGAUGACGGCCUUCGGGUUGUAAACCUCUUUCAGCGGGGACGAAGCGCAAGUGACGGUACCCGCAGAAGAAGCACCGGCCAACUACGUGCCAGCAGCCGCGGUAAUACGUAGGGUGCGAGCGUUGUCCGGAAUUAUUGGGCGUAAAGGGCUCGUAGGCGGUUUGUCGCGUCGGGAGUGAAAACGCCGGGCUUAACUCGGUGCUUGCUUUCGAUACGGGCAGACUAGAGGCAUGCAGGGGAGAACGGAAUUCCUGGUGUAGCGGUGAAAUGCGCAGAUAUCAGGAGGAACACCGGUGGCG